This 30-nucleotide non-coding RNA is filed under the name Mus musculus (house mouse). Lineage: Eukaryota; Metazoa; Chordata; Mammalia; Rodentia; Muridae. The record is from RNAcentral.
UGUGUCUACUCAAUCUUCAAUGCCGUUUAA